GACGAACCGUGCGAACGUUGUUCGGAAUCACUGGGCUUAAAGGGCGCGUAGGCGGCUCCGCAAGUCGGGGGUGAAAUCUUUCGGCUUAACCGGAAAAGUGCCUCUGAUACUGCGGAGCUCGAGGGAGGUAGGGGCGGACGGAACUUCCGGUGGAGCGGUGAAAUGCGUUGAUAUCGGAAGGAACGCCGGUGGCGAAAGCGGUCCGCUGGCCCUCUACUGACGCUGAGGUGCGAAAGCGUGGGGAGCAAACAGG
This 253-nucleotide ribosomal RNA is filed under the name uncultured bacterium. RNAcentral describes it as "partial 16S ribosomal RNA". It matches the Rfam family "Bacterial small subunit ribosomal RNA", at positions 524 to 776 of the family's 1533-position model. The record is from RNAcentral.